Molecule: ribosomal RNA, 341 nt
Filed under: uncultured Bacillota bacterium
Lineage: Bacteria; Bacillati; Bacillota
Description: bacterial SSU rRNA
Rfam family: Bacterial small subunit ribosomal RNA
Source: RNAcentral
GACGAACGCUGGCGGUAUGCUUAACACAUGCAAGUCGAACGAGACGAGGUGGAAGGAUCCUUCGGGUGACGGAAAUCUUAGAAAGUGGCGAACGGGUGAGUAACGCGUGGGUAACCUGCCCUAUGGAAAGGAAUAGCCUCGGGAAACUGGGAGUAAUGCCUUAUAAGAUACAUUUGUCGCAUGGCAGAAGUAUUAAACGCUCCGGUGCCAUAGGAUGGACCCGCGUCCCAUUAGCUAGUUGGUGAGAUAACAGCCCACCAAGGCGACGAUGGGUAACCGGUCUGAGAGGGCGAACGGUCACACUGGAACUGAGACACGGUCCAGACUCCUACGGGAGGCAG